ACGCUGGCGGCGUGCCUAACACAUGCAAGUCGAACGGAAGUUAGAGCUUCGGUUUUAACUUUAGUGGCGAACGGGUGAGUAACGCGUGAGGAACCUGCCUUUCAGUGGGGGACAACAGUUGGAAACGACUGCUAAUACCGCAUGAUACUUUUGGGAGACAUCUCCUGGAAGUCAAAGCUUUAUGUGCUGAAAGCGGGGGAUCGCAAGACCUCGCGCGACUGGAGCGGCCGAUGUCUGAUUAGCUGGUUGGUGGGGUAAAAGCUUACCAAGGCGACGAUCAGUAGCUGGUCUGAGAGGAUGAUCAGCCACAUUGGGACUGAGACACGGCCCAGACUCCUACGGGAGGCAGCAGUGGGGAAUUUUGGACAAUGGGGGAAACCCUGAUCCAGCCAUGCCGCGUGCGGGAUGAAGGCCUUCGGGUUGUAAACCGCUUUUGUCAGAGACGAAAAGGGACCCGUGAACAACGGGUUCCGCUGACGGUAUCUGAAGAAUAAGCACCGGCUAACUACGUG
Molecule: ribosomal RNA, 512 nt
Filed under: uncultured bacterium
Lineage: Bacteria
Description: bacterial SSU rRNA
Rfam family: Bacterial small subunit ribosomal RNA
Source: RNAcentral